Rosa rugosa (rugosa rose) is the source of this 2954-nucleotide RNA transcript. It is a transcript of the gene named glycine-rich protein 5-like, with no coding region annotated. The record is from RefSeq and is a predicted model, not a curated record. NCBI's taxonomy places the organism in Eukaryota, Viridiplantae, Streptophyta, Magnoliopsida, Rosales, Rosaceae. The transcript has 4 exons.
AAGCUCAAUACAGAGAUGGCACACACAUGUUGUGCAAUAUUUAGACGAUGAUUGUUCUCUCUGCAGCAGAAUUAGUAUGAAUCAGUAGGUACAUCCGUACAUGCAUGAACUCUGUGUUUGUUUCUGAUCGAAACUUAAUAAACUUUGAUGAGUGAUAUGAACUCUUACUAUCCUGGAUGUUAUUUCAAUCAGUUGGGGGGGUGGACUUGUACUUGAUGUUGAAUCUUUAAAUCAAAUGUUCAGUUGUUUGUUAGUACUGAUAUAAGUUGGAAGGGUAAGUAGACUUGUUGAAAGAAGGGUAGGUGUUGUCUGGUUUGACUUACAGGUUAGAGUUCGAGAAGUUGAUAGAAGUAUCUUUAUGUAGGAUUACAAUCAAAUGAUCUUACCCUUGUAGCUCAAGCUCUGGUACUCUUUUUAGGAUCAGCUACAUCCGGAGUAAUCUGGGAGAGGUUCUUUUGCUUGCUAUAUUCAUGUCACUUGGCUACCUGGGUAUUUUAGCUGCGGUGGUGCCAACAUUCUGAUAAAGGGUUAGUGAUGCAUGGUCCGGGUGGAGGCGGCGGUCCAGGAGGAGGAGGGCCUGGUGGAGGGGGAGGACCGGGUGGUUGGGGUGGAGGUCCAGGACCGGGAGGGCCGGGAGGACCAGGCUGGGGUCCAGGUCCCGGAGGACCAGGUUGGGGUCCAGGUCCUGGAGGACCGUGGGGUCCUGGGCCUCCGGGACCUGGCGGACCUUGGGGUCCGGGAUUUGGCGGGGGGUGGUGGGGCGGACCUGGUGGCUUCUUUGGUGGGUUUGGCAAUGGCAUAUGUGAGAUGAUAUCUUCUUGCUUCUACUGCUUGUGUUGCUGUUGUUUGCUAGAUGAAUGCUUUGGUGGACCUCGUGGCGGAUAUGGACCUCCUGGAGGACCUCCUCCUCCAUUCUGAUACAGUUUGUUUUACUACUGAGGUUGGCUGCAUCUGUAUUUCAAUGUAGUACCUAAUAAUUGAGAGCUCUAUAUAUUAUUAGUCAUGCAAGUUACAAAGUCUCAUGGACACAGCUUAUUAAGACCACGCUGCAUUUUGAGUCUUGUUAAUGUCAACUUAUUAUUACCAUAUUGCAUUUCGAGUCUUGUUAAUGUAGAGUUUAAUGAUGAAAGUUGGAUUGUGAGCUUUAUGCUGAGUUAUUCAGUUACACUGUUUCGAGAACCCUUGUUGUUUACUUCCAAAUUGAAAUGAAACACUUAUUCAUCCCUAUAAUCAAUCCUUUGAGAAAUGAUUUGAUUAUUCAAUGAGCACCUGGAGAAUGAUCUUAUAUUGAGCUAUGCAAGUACCAAAUUUUGAAGACUAAUACACGCACUACAAAAUCUACUUCCCUUUCUGUCAAAGCAAUCAUAAUUUGGAAAUGAAUCAAGUCCAAUUACAAUUUGAUUGCUAUUUACAGUAUAGUAUAUUCUUUUCUUUCUUUGACUCUGCAUAAUGUUUGCAUAUGUACAAUACUGGUAAGUAAAAUGAGACCCCAUUGUCGGUGCUUCAGACUCAUGAGGAUCGAAGUCGACUGCCUAUAAGUUAUAGUUUCCAACCAUUUACAGAAAACUUUGGCCAAGAAGUAUACAUCUACAGUGUAAGGCAAACAAAAAGCCUGACCAAUAAUACUAUUAAGGGUUAAUAUAUACUUUCUGCAAUGUUUAGAUGAUAAUUGUUCUCUUGCUGCAGAAUUAGUAUGAUCAGUAGGUUGAUGCAUGAACCCUGUGUUUGUUUCUGAUCGAAACUUAAUAAACUGUCAGUCCAUUGAUAGAGCAAUUUGGGCCUAGUCCACUCCCAAUAAACUUCGAUGAGAUCCGAACUCUAACUAUCCUGGAAGUUAUUUCAAUCAGUUGGGGGGUGGACCUGUACUUCUUGUUAAAUUAAAAGACUCAUUUAUCAAGUGUUCAGUUGUUUGUAGUAGUGAUAGAAGUUGGAAUGGUAAGUAGACUUGUAGAAAGAAGGAUAGGUGUCUGGUUUGACUUACUGGUUUGAGUUUGAGAAGUUGGUUGAAGUGUCUUCAUGUAGUCCUAGCUGGGAUUACAUCAAAUGCUUCAAGGGUAAGCAAGCUCAAGCUUUUGUACUCUUAUUAGGAUCAGCUACAUCUAUAGUACUCUUAGAAAAGUUCCUUUGCUUCCCACGCUCAUUACACUUAGCUGCCUGUGUUUGCUAGCUGCGGUGGUGCCAACAUUGAGAUAAAGGGUCAGUGAUGGAUGGCGGAGGUGGAGGUGGAGGUGGCGGUCCAGGAGGAGGAGGGCCUGGUGGAUGGGGUGGAGGGGGAGGACCGGGUGGUUGGGGCGGAGGGCAUGGAGGGGGAGGGCCGGGUGGUUGGGGCGGAGGUCCUGGAGGGGGUGGUCCUGGUGGAUGGGGCCAUGGGCCAGGAGGACCGGGAGGCUGGGGUCCAGGUCCUGGAGGACCAUGGGGUCCUAGUCCGGGAGGACCUUGGGGUCCUGGGCCUGGCGGACCUUGGGGUCCGGGAUUUGGCGGGGGAUGGUGGGGCGGACCUGGUGGUUUCUUUGGUGGGUUUGGCAAUGGCAUAUGUGAGAUGAUAUCUUCUUGCUUCUACUGCUUGUGCUGCUGUUGUUUGCUAGAUGAAUGCUUCGGUGGACCUCGUGGCGGAUAUGGACCUCCUCCUCGUUUUUGAAUUCUGAUACAGUUUGUUUUACUACUAUACAAAGGGUGUCUGCAUCUGUAUUUCAAUAUAAUCACCUAAUAAUUGAGAGUUCUAUAUAUCACUAGUCAUGCUUGCACAGCUCACAGCUAGAUGAUGUUAUUACCACAUUGCAUUCCAUUCUUGUUAAUGGGAGUUUAGUGAAGAAAGUUGUAUUGAUUGCUUUAUGUUAACCUUGUUAUUCAGUUACACCGCCGAGAACCCUUGUUGUUUACUUCCAAAUUGAAAUGAAAGACACUUAUUCAUCCCUGUAAUCGAUCCUUUGAGAAAUGAUUUGAUUGUUCAAUGA